RNAcentral lists this ribosomal RNA (440 nucleotides) under uncultured bacterium. Its description in RNAcentral is "partial 16S ribosomal RNA". It matches the Rfam family "Bacterial small subunit ribosomal RNA", at positions 338 to 795 of the family's 1533-position model. The record is from RNAcentral.
CCUACGGGAGGCAGCAGUAGGGAAUAUUGCUCAAUGGGGGAAACCCUGAAGCAGCAACGCCGCGUGGAGGAUGAAGGUUUUCGGAUUGUAAACUCCUUUUGUUAGGGAAGAUAAUGACGGUAUCUAACGAAUAAGCACCGGCUAACUCCGUGCCAGCAGCCGCGGUAAUACGGAGGGUGCAAGCGUUACUCGGAAUCACUGGGCGUAAAGAGCGCGUAGGCGGGAUAGCAAGUCAGAUGUGAAAUCCUAUGGCUUAACCAUAGAACUGCAUUUGAAACUGGUAUUCUAGAGUAUGGGAGAGGUAGGUGGAAUUCGUGGUGUAGGGGUAAAAUGCGUAGAGAUAAAGAGGAAUACUCAUUGCGAAGGCGACCUGCUAGAACAUAACUGACGCUGAUGCGCGAAAGCGUGGGGAGCAAACAGGAUUAGAUACCCCUGUAGUC